GCAUUAACCUGCUUUCUGUAUAAAAUAAGUCAUUGUAAAAUCAAUUUUCUAAAUCUGAAAUUUCAUUCUAGAUAUGUGAGAUUCUUGCUGGUACAGAUGGACAGCUUGUUGAGCAAGUUGAAGGAAAGGCAGCUUGAUACCUUGGUUAAAACCUUUGAAGAUUUCACAAGACUUCAGGAAGCUACAUCCAGAGGCAGACUUUUUGAAGACUGGGCUACAGUUGCAGACCAAAUUGUUGCCUAUGCCCAGCAAGAUGGAAAGGUGCAUUAAGAGCUGGGUGACAUGACUUCAGAUGCUAAAGGGGAGAGUGCUUUCAAAGUCCUGCCCAUUCUGGAGGAAGGGUCCACAGAACCACAACCACAGAAUUCUGGAAGUCAUUCAUUGACAUACAACCUGUGGGGACCAGCAUGGUGGAUUUGUGUCUUGGGGACGAGACAACGACAUCCCAGACCUUCACAAUUGUUACGGGCCAUGCCACUGAAGCGUACUCGUUGCCAGGGAAUUUCUCCGGCUUGCAGUAUAUUAUAUUGAUGGACAUAAGUCUUCAUGUGCGAAUUUUUUAAGGCCAACAGUUUUUUCUGGCCACUUGUAACAUGUUUUAAAUUGUCAUAUGUAUUGUCUGGUGAACACUUUGUUUGGCUUAGUUUUAAUAGCACAAUGUUUGGAACAAUUUUCAUGUGGCAGUAAUUAAUUUUUGAGUGUUCUGCUGCUACAGUGUUGACAAAGAAUGGGAAUCUACAGUGCCUAGUUUACACAGUUUUGUGUUUUAAAGUAACUGAUCUACUAAAAUUGUUGUUUUAUGUGUCUGUAAUGGUUGGAUAAAAUGUGUGACAGCU
Labeo rohita (rohu) is the source of this 836-nucleotide long non-coding RNA. RefSeq lists it as uncharacterized. NCBI's taxonomy places the organism in Eukaryota, Metazoa, Chordata, Actinopteri, Cypriniformes, Cyprinidae. The record is from RefSeq and is a predicted model, not a curated record. The transcript is spliced from 4 exons.